This is a long non-coding RNA of Girardinichthys multiradiatus, 1458 nucleotides long. RefSeq lists it as uncharacterized. The transcript is spliced from 2 exons. The record is from RefSeq and is a predicted model, not a curated record. NCBI's taxonomy places the organism in Eukaryota, Metazoa, Chordata, Actinopteri, Cyprinodontiformes, Goodeidae.
AAGGGUAACAAACUCUUGCCAGACCGCCGCAUUGGAAUUAAGCUUUGUGUUUGCUUUGUGCCUCAACUAACCUUCGUGUAUCUUCCUUCUUAGGUUGAUUUCAAGCCCUGGAUUCGUUUCUGGUUCGUUUUCUGACUUCUGGAAUAGUUGAAUUUCCUGACUCUUGGACAAGAAGUCUUCUGGAUCAAAGUUCAAGUCUCCAGUUACCCUCUUCGGAAAAACUUCGAGCUGGCAGCUUCCCAACUCCUUGAUAAUCCGGACCAAGACAUAAGCGAGCCCUGUUCACCCUCCAAUCUGCUCUCACGCAAGUACCUCCACCCAGUGCUCCACACCACCAUCUCUCACAUUCUGGACUAAGUUGGGCAGGCCUCCCCAGGAACCACCUACCUUGGAUAACUCUCCUUCAAGUCAUCUCCGGUCCUGGGAUCCCAGACUCCACAUUUCUCUUUACCCCUGGCGGCUCAGUCCUCUCUCCCACCGCACUGCAAAGGCACUAAAUAUAGAAGUUCUGGCCGCCAUAUUCAUCAGAGCAGCAGAGGAGUGAGUGAGUGCAGCGCUGGUUGAAGAAACCAAGACUUAACCAGAGAGCGUGUACAUGCCUGUUAGUGUGAAUGAGCCUGGGUUUUAAGAGUGCACUUAACCAAAACAUUUUUGCAUGUGUUUGUUGUCAGGCAAACAUUUGCAUCAUUCCAGGCAUGCUGAUGUAGUAUAAUGCUUGGAAACUUGUUUAUUUACUUGUGUGAAUUCAUGCAAGUGCUUUAAAUACAGCUAAGAAGUGUCCUCUGUAGGAAAAUACACAGAUAUGCCUAUGGUAAAAAGAUUUGACAAAGGUAAGUGAAAAUAAAUUAUUCACUUAUUUUGCUUUAGUUUGAAGGGAUUUUGAAGAGAGAACAGUUUACUGUAAUCCUGAAACCAUAACAUGUCACAUUCCCUCAGAACAUGAUAAAAUCACAGCUCCAGUAGAAUCUAUGAAGAGAGACAGAGAGCACCACUGAUAACCUGAAGACUCUCAUCAUAGGGCGAUGAGAUAGAAAGACAGAGAAACGCUAAAGGAUCAUCGAGUCUGAGCUGGUUUUAGGCUUGUUUUAUUUUAGGCACAUAAAGCAUAUCUGCUGGACAGAUGGGAGCCUUGACUCAGACUGAGUCUACAGUAUGACAGCAUUAGCAGAUCCAGCCUCGGUUUGGCCAUAACCGUUUGUCUUAUUGUCUGCGAUGUCCCUGAUUCUUAAAAUCAAACUGUUUACGGAGAUGCUGAGAUAAAAAACACAAAACAUGUCAGACAAAUUACAUGUUUGAAGUAAGAGCUGCUGUUAUCUUUAGCUUCUCGUCCCAACUGUGUUUUAACAGCUUUGAGUUUAUUCUUUUAGGUUUACAGUCUGCAAAAAAAAACUGAAUUACACAUCAUUCCAUUAAAGUUCAAAUUCAAAAAUUCCUUAUGAAUCAUAUAUUAAAAUUAAA